Molecule: unclassified non-coding RNA, 1051 nt
Filed under: Hevea brasiliensis (rubber tree)
Lineage: Eukaryota; Viridiplantae; Streptophyta; Magnoliopsida; Malpighiales; Euphorbiaceae
Source: RNAcentral
AGCUAUAGCUAAAAAUAAUCUCACUGUAACUAGUUUAGCUACUGGUGAGAAACUUUCAUGGUAAUCUAUUCCAGAUAGCUGAUUAUACCCUUUUACAACCAACCUAGCUUUAUAUUUGUCAAUAUUACCAUCUGGCCUAUAUUUAAUUUUAUACACCCAUCUAGGAGCUAUAGCUUUCUUUCCCUUGGAAGAGUGGUAAUUUCCCAAUUAUUAUUUCUCUCCGAUGCUUCUAAUUCUGAUUGCAUAGCAUGGAUCUAGUUAUUGUCCUCCCUAGCUUGGUGGUAAAAUUUAGGUUCACAUGAUGUAGAAACAUUUGCCAUAUAACUUAUGUAAUCAUGAUUAUAAUGGGGUAUAGAAAAUGAAAUAGGUUGAGGAGGUAAGAUUGUCAUACCUUCAGGAUUUUGUGACCAUUCAGAAGUUGUAGCAACUGAAGUUUUUGAGAAGGUGCAUAUAUAGCUUGUGCAACAAAAUCAUUCAAUCAUUUUGGCCUAUUUGAAACUCUUGUACUUCUCCUUAUGGGCACCUCAAUUUUAGGAAUGGAUUCUGUUUGUAGUGAAGUUAAUGGAGAAUUAUUAUUUUCAAUUGGUGAUGUGAGGGGAUGAGUGGAAUUUGGUAACCGUGUUUCUAUGUCAAAAAUUGGCAUGGGUAGAAUAGAAUCAUCAAACUAUGUGGUAUGUCCAUCUCCACUAGCAUAUGGAAAACAAUUUUCAUGAAAAACUACAUCCCUUGAUACAAUAAUAGCUUUAUUUUGCAUAUCAUAUAUAAGCCUUGUAAACAAAAGCAUAUCGUAUGAAGGCACAUUUGAAAGCUCUCUGUUUAAAUUUAUAUUUAUGUGCUUUAAUAUUUGUAGCAAAACCUAAACAUUCAAAGACUUUGAGAUGAUUGCAAUCUAGUUUCUUAUUGUAAUCUGGUUUCUUGCCAAACAAAAUUUCAUAAGGAGUUUUCCAUUGUAAAACUGAACUUGGCAUCCUAUUUAUGAGAUGGGUUGUUGUCAAAAUACUGUCUCCCUAGAAAUUUUUUAGCAAUUUUGAUGUAAACAUUAAGGCUCUUG